This is a non-coding RNA of Armillaria fumosa, 90 nucleotides long. NCBI's taxonomy places the organism in Eukaryota, Fungi, Basidiomycota, Agaricomycetes, Agaricales, Physalacriaceae. The record is from the annotation of a GenBank genome assembly.
UUUCCGGUAGUGUAUCGGUUAGUACACGCGCCUGUCAUAAUCGGUGUUGGUAGAUCGCGCGAAAGCUGGGUUCGACUCCCAGCCAGAGAG